RNAcentral lists this ribosomal RNA (331 nucleotides) under uncultured bacterium. Its description in RNAcentral is "partial 16S ribosomal RNA". It matches the Rfam family "Bacterial small subunit ribosomal RNA", at positions 338 to 667 of the family's 1533-position model. The record is from RNAcentral.
ACUACGGGAGGCAGCAGUGAGGAAUAUUGGUCAAUGGUCGGGAGACUGAACCAGCCAAGCCGCGUGAGGGAUGAAGGUACAGAGUAUCGUACACCUCUGUUGUCAGGGAACAAAGGCGGGGACGUGUCCCCGGAGGAGUGUACCUGAAGAAAAAGCAUAGGCUAACUCCGUGCCAGCAGCCGAGGUAAUACGGAGGAUGUGAGUGUUAUCCGGUUUUAUUGGGCUUAAAGGGGGCGCAGGCGGUCUGUCAAGUCAGUGGUAAAAGCCGGGGGUCCAACCCCGGCCCGCCGUUGAAACUGGCAGUCUCGAGUUGGAGAGAAGUAUGCGGAAU